GACGAACGCUGGCGGCGUGCUUAACACAUGCAAGUCGAACGGAAAGGCCCUGCUUUUGUGGGGUGCUCGAGUGGCGAACGGGGGAGUAACACGUGAGUAACCUGCCCUUGACUUUGGGAUAACUUCAGGAAACUGGGGCUAAUACCGGAUAUGAGCGCCUGCUGCAUGGGGGGGGUUGGAAAGUUUCGGCGGUUGGGGAUGGACUCGCGGCUUAUCAGCUUGUUGGUGGGGUAGUGGCUUACCAAGGCUUUGACGGGUAGCCGGCCUGAGAGGGUGACCGGCCACAUUGGGAAUGAGAUACGGCCCAGACUCCUACGGGAGGCAGCAGUGGGGAAUAUUGCACAAUGGGCGGAAGCCUGAUGCAGCAACGCCGCGUGCGGGAUGACGGCCUUCGGGUUGUAACCCGCUUUCGCCUGUGACGAAGCGUGAGUGACGGUAAUGGGUAAAGAAGCACCGGCUAACUACGUG
This 468-nucleotide ribosomal RNA is filed under the name uncultured bacterium. RNAcentral's name for it is "partial 16S ribosomal RNA". It matches the Rfam family "Bacterial small subunit ribosomal RNA", at positions 28 to 507 of the family's 1533-position model. The record is from RNAcentral.